RNAcentral lists this transfer RNA (71 nucleotides) under Salmo salar (Atlantic salmon). It matches the Rfam family "tRNA". Rfam says of the family: Transfer RNA (tRNA) molecules are approximately 80 nucleotides in length. Lineage: Eukaryota; Metazoa; Chordata; Actinopteri; Salmoniformes; Salmonidae. The record is from Rfam by way of RNAcentral.
GCUUUGGUGGUUCAGUGGUAGAAUUCUCGCCUGCCACACGGGAAGCUCAGGUUCAUUUCCCAGCCUAUGCA